RNAcentral lists this ribosomal RNA (460 nucleotides) under uncultured Rikenellaceae bacterium. RNAcentral's name for it is "bacterial SSU rRNA". It matches the Rfam family "Bacterial small subunit ribosomal RNA", at positions 338 to 795 of the family's 1533-position model. The record is from RNAcentral. Lineage: Bacteria; Pseudomonadati; Bacteroidota; Bacteroidia; Bacteroidales; Rikenellaceae.
CCUACGGGCGGCUGCAGUGAGGGAUAUUGGACAAUGGAUGGAAAUCUGAUCCAGCCAUGCCGCGUGCAGGAAGACGGCCCUAUGGGUUGUAAACUGCUUUUAUACGGGAGCAAUAAGGUCUACGCGUAGACUGAUGAGAGUACCGUAUGAAUAAGCAUCGGCUAACUCCGUGCCAGCAGCCGCGGUAAUACGGAGGAUGCGAGCGUUAUCCGGAUUUAUUGGGUUUAAAGGGUGCGUAGGCGGCUUUGUAAGUCAGCGGUGAAAUUUUGCAGCUUAACUGUAACAGUGCCGUUGAUACUGUGAGGCUAGGAUUUGGUUGCUGUGGGUGGAAUGUGUGGUGUAGCGGUGAAAUGCUUAGAGAUCACACAGAAUAUCGAUUGCGAAGGCAGCUCACAAAGCCAAGAUUGACGCUGAGGCACGAAAGUGUGGGGAUCAAACAGGAUUAGAUACCCCUGUAGUC